This 2074-nucleotide unclassified non-coding RNA is filed under the name Agrilus planipennis (emerald ash borer). RNAcentral describes it as "protein Wnt-1, transcript variant X3". Lineage: Eukaryota; Metazoa; Arthropoda; Insecta; Coleoptera; Buprestidae. The record is from RNAcentral.
UGUGGGUGGUCAGGACUCGAAUCCAGACUCCUCCUUAGGCUAAAGCUCGGGCUAAUUCGGACAAAGCCGACCAACCACCCCUACUCCACCCUCGGUUUUGAGUAAAUAAGCUUCCAGGUGGAUUUGUUUAUUUUUUGCGUUGGUGCAGUGAAUUCGUGUGCGGGUGGAUGGACAUGGAGUUUUCGGUGGUGCUGGUGGUGAGUCUUUUUGUGGCUAUCGGAUCCACUAACGAAGUUGUCAUCCGGAAAGGACGAGGAAAAGGAUCCAUGUGGUGGGGCAUAGCGAUGGCAGGAGAACCCAACAACAUUUCGCCUUUGAAGCCCGGAUUGUCUUACAUGGAUCCCUCUGUUCACGGAACGCUAAGGAAGAAACAGAGGCGGCUUGCCAGGGAAAACCCUGGCGUUUUGGAUGCGAUAGCCAAGGGGGCAAAUAUGGCCAUUCACGAAUGCCAGUAUCAGUUCAGAAACAGGCGGUGGAAUUGUUCCACCAAAAAUUUUUUAAGGGGAAAGAAUUUAUUCGGAAAAAUUGUCGACAGAGGGUGUCGUGAGACGGCCUUCAUUUACGCGAUAACAAGUGCGGCAGUCACACACGCGAUAGCUCGUGCUUGCAGUGAAGGUUCAAUAGACACCUGUAACUGCGAGUACAGCCACCACAAGAGUCGACCUAGAAUGUAUUCUAGUAGUCGAGGAUCCGUUCCAGGAGUACGCGAAUGGGAAUGGGGAGGUUGUUCGGAUAACAUUGGAUUUGGCGUGGAGUUUGCCAGAGAAUUCGUCGAUACAGGCGAACGUGGUCGAAGUCUGCGAGAAAAAAUGAAUCUUCACAACAACGAAGCAGGAAGAAUGCACGUUCAAUCGCAAAUGCGCCAAGAAUGCAAGUGCCACGGCAUGUCAGGAUCAUGUACCGUUAAGACCUGCUGGAUGCGUCUCCCAUCGUUCCGUAUCAUCGGUGACAACUUGAAGGACAGAUUCGACGGAGCUUCUAGAGUAAUGGCGAGCAAUGCAGGCAAUUCCCGUACAAAUCAUGCUCACAAUAACAGGAGAAAAGAGCCGUCCAGCAACGACCUAUUGAGUUCCAACAGCAUACAUAGUAAAAGGGAACGAAAACCAAGGCGAAACAAACACGGGUUCCAGCUAAAACCUUACAAUCCCGAUCACAAACCUCCGGGUUCGAAAGAUUUGGUUUAUUUCGAACCUUCGCCCGGUUUUUGUGAGAGGAAUACCAAGCUGGGUAUCCCGGGUACCCAUGGACGUCAUUGUAACGAUACCUCCAUAGGUGUGGACGGGUGUGACUUGAUGUGUUGUGGGAGGGGUUAUCGCACGGAAGUGAUUGAAGCUGUCGAAAGGUGUCUUUGUACUUUCCAUUGGUGUUGCGAGGUCAAGUGUGACCUUUGCAGAACAAAAAAAACUGUGCAUAGGUGUUUGUAAACCUAUGCUACUUAUUCGUUAAAUAUUAAUUUGUUGUGAUUGCCAUUAUCCAUAAGACUUAGUAGGUAUUACGCAGGUAUUCUAUAGGAAAAAGAAAGUAAAUGUUAGGAACGCGAGCAUCUGCCCAAAGGACCAAUGGAAGUAUUUCAUGAUGGAAGGUUUUUUAGCCUACAAAAGUGCACGAGAUCUGUCUUGUUGAUCUAAUUCAUUGCAAAACGACAAAAACAUAAUAAAAUGUGUAUUGACUGUACAUGUAGAGCGUCUGCUACGAAACAAAUGAUCAGUAUUAUUUAUUAUCGAUAAUAAAAUAUUAAUGCGAAAUUCUCGCUGAUGUAUAUAGGAAAAUAGUAUUUAUGAAAAGACUGAUUGGACAGCAGAGAGUAGCUAUUUAUGAUGAUAUCGACUCGUUAAAUGUAAAUAAAUGUUUCAUAAUUAUGACAUUAAUAACGGAACGAUGGAAAAACUUGCGUGUAAUUUAAUUUAUUUAUCUGAUUGUUGUAAAUAACCGUAUCAGCGAUGUAUCUCACGAAACGUAUAGAUACCUACAUAACAUGUAUCGAAUGAAAAGACAUGCGACGUGUAUUUAUAUUUUUUAUUUAUUGUGUACGAGCUGUGUAUUUAGAUAGGUUUUUUUGUAAAUAGAAAUUUAA